RNAcentral lists this ribosomal RNA (1372 nucleotides) under uncultured bacterium. Its description in RNAcentral is "bacterial SSU rRNA". It matches the Rfam family "Bacterial small subunit ribosomal RNA", at positions 28 to 1381 of the family's 1533-position model. The record is from RNAcentral.
GAUGAACGCUGGCGGCGUGCCUAAUACAUGCAAGUCGAGCGAACGGACGAGAAGCUUGCUUCUCUGAUGUUAGCGGCGGACGGGUGAGUAACACGUGGAUAACCUACCUAUAAGACUGGGAUAACUUCGGGAAACCGGAGCUAAUACCGGAUAAUAUUUUGAACCGCAUGGUUCAAAAGUGAAAGACGGUCUUGCUGUCACUUAUAGAUGGAUCCGCGCUGCAUUAGCUAGUUGGUAAGGUAACGGCUUACCAAGGCAACGAUGCAUAGCCGACCUGAGAGGGUGAUCGGCCACACUGGAACUGAGACACGGUCCAGACUCCUACGGGAGGCAGCAGUAGGGAAUCUUCCGCAAUGGGCGAAAGCCUGACGGAGCAACGCCGCGUGAGUGAUGAAGGUCUUCGGAUCGUAAAACUCUGUUAUUAGGGAAGAACAUAUGUGUAAGUAACUGUGCACAUCUUGACGGUACCUAAUCAGAAAGCCACGGCUAACUACGUGCCAGCAGCCGCGGUAAUACGUAGGUGGCAAGCGUUAUCCGGAAUUAUUGGGCGUAAAGCGCGCGUAGGCGGUUUUUUAAGUCUGAUGUGAAAGCCCACGGCUCAACCGUGGAGGGUCAUUGGAAACUGGAAAACUUGAGUGCAGAAGAGGAAAGUGGAAUUCCAUGUGUAGCGGUGAAAUGCGCAGAGAUAUGGAGGAACACCAGUGGCGAAGGCGACUUUCUGGUCUGUAACUGACGCUGAUGUGCGAAAGCGUGGGGAUCAAACAGGAUUAGAUACCCUGGUAGUCCACGCCGUAAACGAUGAGUGCUAAGUGUUAGGGGGUUUCCGCCCCUUAGUGCUGCAGCUAACGCAUUAAGCACUCCGCCUGGGGAGUACGACCGCAAGGUUGAAACUCAAAGGAAUUGACGGGGACCCGCACAAGCGGUGGAGCAUGUGGUUUAAUUCGAAGCAACGCGAAGAACCUUACCAAAUCUUGACAUCCUUUGACAACUCUAGAGAUAGAGCCUUCCCCUUCGGGGGACAAAGUGACAGGUGGUGCAUGGUUGUCGUCAGCUCGUGUCGUGAGAUGUUGGGUUAAGUCCCGCAACGAGCGCAACCCUUAAGCUUAGUUGCCAUCAUUAAGUUGGGCACUCUAAGUUGACUGCCGAUGACAAACCGGAGGAAGGUGGGGAUGACGUCAAAUCAUCAUGCCCCUUAUGAUUUGGGCUACACACGUGCUACAAUGGACAAUACAAAGGGCAGCGAAACCGCGAGGUCAAGCAAAUCCCAUAAAGUUGUUCUCAGUUCGGAUUGUAGUCUGCAACUCGACUACAUGAAGCUGGAAUCGCUAGUAAUCGUAGAUCAGCAUGCUACGGUGAAUACGUUCCCGGGUCU